CCCUUAGAUGUCCUGGGCCGCACGCGCGUUACACUGAUGCAUUCAACGAGCUUAUAACCUUGGCCGAGAGGCCUGGGCAAUCUUGUUAACGUGCAUCGUGAUAGGGAUAGAUUAUUGAAAUUAUUAAUCUUGAACGAGGAAUUCCUAGUAAACGCAGAUCAUCAAUCUGCAUUGAUUACGUCCCCGCCCUUUGUACGCACCGCCCGUCGCACCUACCGAUUGGAUGGUCCGGUGAAGCCUCGGGAUUGUGGUUCUUGCCGCUUUAUUGUGGCGUGACCGCGAGAACUUGUCUAAACCUUAUCAUCUAGAGGAAGGUGAAGUCGUAACA
This 328-nucleotide ribosomal RNA is filed under the name uncultured eukaryote. Its description in RNAcentral is "partial 18S ribosomal RNA". It matches the Rfam family "Eukaryotic small subunit ribosomal RNA", at positions 1470 to 1796 of the family's 1831-position model. The record is from RNAcentral.